This is a long non-coding RNA of Maylandia zebra (zebra mbuna), 698 nucleotides long. RefSeq lists it as uncharacterized. Lineage: Eukaryota; Metazoa; Chordata; Actinopteri; Cichliformes; Cichlidae. The record is from RefSeq and is a predicted model, not a curated record.
UAAAGAUCAUGGGUGGGCGGGGCAAAUGGAGCAGUUUUCUACAGUCGAGUAAAAUUCCAGGAAAGAGCUGGGUGUGGCUUUCCUUUAAAUCACAUGAUCAACAGCUUUAAGAUGGAGGCAACUCGCUCAGUGUUUCCUGUUUCAUUCUUAGACUGUGGCGAUGGUAAGUAGCAGCUUUUCACUUGUUACCUGGCAUCUUUUCAGCCACCAAUGAUAGUCAUUGUAUGUUAUCAACAUUUCACUAACUAUGUUUUCUCUCAUGUUUAAAAUAGGCCGACCAAGAGCAAAAUAGAAGACAACAAUUUCUCAAAGGAGGUUCAAAACUAAUGCCUACAAGAUUACCAAGAGGAGGGUUCGGGGCUCUUACAUGACUCCGGGAAGUCAACACUUGGUGGAUGAGAUCCUUCACAGCAUGUUGUUUCUGGGCAAAAUCAACAACAUCCCCUUUUCUCCAGAAGAAAUCUUCCCUAAUCCUUUUGUUUUGGGUUCUUUAAUGAGAAGAUAUCCCAGGCCUUUAAAGUUGUAUUCGACUCAGCUUCCCAGGCGAAGUCCCUUCUCCUGUGUGCUCGACAUGAUCGUCCUGCAAAAUAACUCAGAGAAUGAAGAGCAAAUAAAGCAGAGUCUGCAAGAUCUCCUCACAGACUUGGACUUAGAAGAGAAUAAUAAAAAAACAGCUUUCGUCUCGUCCACCAUCUGCA